RNAcentral lists this unclassified non-coding RNA (153 nucleotides) under uncultured Phaeosphaeria. Its description in RNAcentral is "partial internal transcribed spacer 2". Lineage: Eukaryota; Fungi; Ascomycota; Dothideomycetes; Pleosporales; Phaeosphaeriaceae. The record is from RNAcentral.
GUACCCUCAAGCUUUGCUUGGUGUUGGGUGUUUGUCCUCUCCCUCGCGUUUGGACUCGCCUUAAAACAAUUGGCAGCCAGUAUUUUGGUAAUGAAGCGCAGCACAUUUUGCGAUUCUAGCCUAUAAUACUUGCGUCCACAAGCCUUUUUUAAC